RNAcentral lists this long non-coding RNA (237 nucleotides) under Prunus persica (peach). Its description in RNAcentral is "long non-coding RNA (PPER_LNC007601)". The record is from RNAcentral. Lineage: Eukaryota; Viridiplantae; Streptophyta; Magnoliopsida; Rosales; Rosaceae.
AUAGGAUUUCUAUUGUUAUUUAUCAAGCUCAAGUUUAGAUUAAGAAUAGCUUCUCUAGGUGUUCUUAACUAACAACUAUCAUAUGGAGGUUCAUGCAAAUUGGCAAAGGUAAAUUGUGCAUUGCAUAACAUUGCAUUAUACUGGUUUCAUAAAAUGAUGACUAGUCAUCUGUUCCUUGGAUGACUAGUCAUCCUUGCUCUCCAGCUUGAUAACCAACUUUUUUGUCCUAUUCCUUUU